GCCUAACAAGAGUGAGAAGGAUGAGAAGAAACUGGAGUCGCCGGCCAGGAAGAAAGCGAAAAUGACCCGACCCUAUGUUCCACCCCAGUUUGGCUCCCGAGGGGUCCAAACCCCGAAUUGAGACCCCCCAUGACCAAGUGUGUAGUAAGUGUCGCCAGGUCCAGGAAGAAAGAAGGAUGAUUACAUGGCGUAGGGAAUUGGCGAUAAAAGUGAGCAAUAUGGGAAAAAUGACUAGACGGAGGAAACAGCGAAGCUGAAGGGCAGAAUUGAGAUUUAUGCGAAGGCUUCUAGAAGAUCCUCCGCGCCUACAUAAGGGAGAGAGCAUGCAGAAAAGAUAGAGUUUUUCGGCUCCUUAGGUUUUAUUUUGGCUCUCUUGGCUCACUUACUUCUACACACUUGGGAGAUGUCCGGGAAGUUGUAGGGGAUUACGGGUUUCACUUUCUAUGUGUUGUUGGGUAACACUGUCCUUGCGUAGGGCGAAGAUACAAUUACUGCUUUCAUUUCAUUCCGUUGCUGUGAAUUUCACCGAGCUUCGUUGUUCGAAGCUCGGCUCUGUUUUUCUGAAAAAUUAUCGUUGAUUUAUGCAAUUUCUGUUUUCUGAUAU
Molecule: long non-coding RNA, 604 nt
Organism: Salvia splendens (bonfire salvia)
Lineage: Eukaryota; Viridiplantae; Streptophyta; Magnoliopsida; Lamiales; Lamiaceae
Exons: 2
Source: RefSeq, a predicted model, not a curated record